Molecule: ribosomal RNA, 465 nt
Filed under: uncultured Streptococcus sp.
Lineage: Bacteria; Bacillati; Bacillota; Bacilli; Lactobacillales; Streptococcaceae
Description: bacterial SSU rRNA
Rfam family: Bacterial small subunit ribosomal RNA
Source: RNAcentral
CCUACGGGAGGCAGCAGUAGGGAAUCUUCGGCAAUGGACGGAAGUCUGACCGAGCAACGCCGCGUGAGUGAAGAAGGUUUUCGGAUCGUAAAGCUCUGUUGUAAGAGAAGAACGAGUGUGAGAGUGGAAAGUUCACACUGUGACGGUAUCUUACCAGAAAGGGACGGCUAACUACGUGCCAGCAGCCGCGGUAAUACGUAGGUCCCGAGCGUUGUCCGGAUUUAUUGGGCGUAAAGCGAGCGCAGGCGGUUUGAUAAGUCUGAAGUUAAAGGCUGUGGCUCAACCAUAGUUCGCUUUGGAAACUGUCAAACUUGAGUGCAGAAGGGGAGAGUGGAAUUCCAUGUGUAGCGGUGAAAUGCGUAGAUAUAUGGAGGAACACCGGUGGCGAAAGCGGCUCUCUGGUCUGUAACUGACGCUGAGGCUCGAAAGCGUGGGGAGCGAACAGGAUUAGAUACCCGGGUAGUC